GAUGAACGCUGGCGGCGUGCCUAAUACAUGCAAGUCGAGCGAACAGAUAAGGAGCUUGCUCCUUUGAAGUUAGCGGCGGACGGGUGAGUAACACGUGGGUAACCUACCUAUAAGACUGGGAUAACUUCGGGAAACCGGAGCUAAUACCGGAUAACAUUUAGAACCGCAUGGUUCUAAAGUGAAAGAUGGUUUUGCUAUCACUUAUAGAUGGACCCGCGCCGUAUUAGCUAGUUGGUAAGGUAACGGCUUACCAAGGCGACGAUACGUAGCCGACCUGAGAGGGUGAUCGGCCACACUGGAACUGAGACACGGUCCGGACUCCUACGGGAGGCAGCAGUAGGGAAUCUUCCGCAAUGGGCGAAAGCCUGACGGAGCAACGCCGCGUGAGUGAUGAAGGGUUCCGGCUCGUAAAACUCUGUUAUUAGGGAAGAACAUAUGUGUAAGUAACUGCGCACAUCUUGACGGUUCCUAAUCAGAAAGCCACGGCUAACUACGUGCCAGCACCCGCGGUAAUACGGAGGUGGCAAGCGUUAUCCGGAAUUAUUGGGCGUAAAGCGCGCGUAGGCGGUUUCUUAGUCUGAUGUGAAAGCCCACGGCUCAACCGUGGAGGGUCAUUGGAAACUGGGAAACUUGAGUGCAGAAGAGGAAAGUGGAAUUCCAUGUGUAGCGGUGAAAUGCGCAGAGAUAUGGAGGAACACCAGUGGCGAAGGCGACUUUCUGGUCCGUAACUGACGCUGAUGUGCGAAAGCGUGGGGAUCAAACAGGAUUAGAUACCCUGGUAGUCCACGCCGUAAACGAUGAGUGCUAAGUGUUAGGGGGUUUCCGCCCCUUAGUGCUGCAGCUAACGCAUUAAGCACUCCGCCUGGGGAGUACGACCGCAAGGUUGAAACUCAAAGGAAUUGACGGGGACCCGCACAAGCGGUGGGGCAUGUGGUUUAAUUCGAAGCAACGCGAAGAACCUUACCAAAUCUUGACAUCCUUUGAAAACUCUAGAGAUAGAGCCUUCCCCUUCGGGGGACAAAGUGACAGGUGGUGCAUGGUUGUCGUCAGCUCGUGUCGUGAGAUGUUGGGUUAAGUCCCGCAACGAGCGCAACCCUUAAGCUUAGUUGCCAUCAUUAAGUUGGGCACUCUAGGUUGACUGCCGGUGACAAACCGGAGGAAGGUGGGGAUGACGUCAAAUCAUCAUGCCCCUUAUGAUUUGGGCUACACAUGUGCUACAAUGGACAAUACAAAGGGCAGCUAAACCGCGAGGUCAUGCAAAUCCCAUAAAGUUGUUCUCAGUUCGGAUUGUAGUCUGCAACUCGACUACAUGAAGCUGGAAUCGCUAGUAAUCGUAGAUCAGCAUGCUACGGUGAAUACGUUCCCGGGUCU
Molecule: ribosomal RNA, 1371 nt
Filed under: uncultured bacterium
Lineage: Bacteria
Description: bacterial SSU rRNA
Rfam family: Bacterial small subunit ribosomal RNA
Source: RNAcentral